Molecule: ribosomal RNA, 497 nt
Filed under: uncultured bacterium
Lineage: Bacteria
Description: partial 16S ribosomal RNA
Rfam family: Bacterial small subunit ribosomal RNA
Source: RNAcentral
GAUGAACGCUGGCGGCGUGCCUAAUACAUGCAAGUCGAGCGAACAGACGAGGAGCUUGCUCCUCUGACGUUAGCGGCGGACGGGUGAGUAACACGUGGAUAACCUACCUAUCAGACUGGGAUAACUUCGGGAAACCGGAGCUAAUACCGGAUAAUAUAUUGAACCGCAUGGUUCAAUAGUGAAAGACGGUUUUGCUGUCACUUAUAGAUGGAUCCGCGCCGCAUUAGCUAGUUGGUAAGGUAACGGCUUACCAAGGCAACGAUGCGUAGCCGACCUGUGAGGGUGAUCGGCCACCCUGGAACUGGGACACCGUCCAGACUCCUACGGGAGGCAGCAGUAGGGAAUCUUCCGCAAUGGGCGAAAGCCUGACGGAGCAACGCCGCGUGAGUGAUGAAGGUCUUCGGAUCGUAAAACUCUGUUAUGAGGGAAGAACAAAUGUGUAAGUAACUAUGCACGUCUUGACGGUACCUAAUCAGAAAGCCACGGCUAACUACGUG